GGUGGUCCCAGUGCUGAGUAGUUAUAACUAAUUAGUCACAACCAAUUACAGAUUUCUUUGUUCCUUCUUCACUCUCACUGCUUCACUUGACUAGCCUUAA
RNAcentral lists this Y RNA (100 nucleotides) under Microcebus murinus (gray mouse lemur). RNAcentral describes it as "Y RNA (ENSMICG00000043821.1)". It matches the Rfam family "Y RNA". Rfam says of the family: Y RNAs are components of the Ro ribonucleoprotein particle (Ro RNP), in association with Ro60 and La proteins. The Y RNAs and Ro60 and La proteins are well conserved, but the function of the Ro RNP is not known. Lineage: Eukaryota; Metazoa; Chordata; Mammalia; Primates; Cheirogaleidae. The record is from Rfam by way of RNAcentral.